Long non-coding RNA from Oncorhynchus tshawytscha (Chinook salmon), 654 nucleotides. RefSeq lists it as uncharacterized. The transcript is spliced from 3 exons. NCBI's taxonomy places the organism in Eukaryota, Metazoa, Chordata, Actinopteri, Salmoniformes, Salmonidae. The record is from RefSeq and is a predicted model, not a curated record.
UGAUCCCCCUCCCUGUCUGAUUUGUUGGAUCCCAGGACAACCGUCCCUGGAGAGUAGAUGUAUAUGGACCCUGAAUCAAACACCAACAAGCACAAACAUUAUCAGAUGAAACUAUUGAAACAGGUGACAUAAAUGUAUAUAUAUUAUGCACAGUAAAUGCUGAUGUAAAACCUGGUGGACUUAGCAGUGUAAUAAAUUAACAAUAUGACAGGAGAGGAAGUGAAAAGCUGGCAUCACUCAGCAGCAUAUGCUUCUGUUUUUGUAUGCAUGAUUCUGGCUUCCUGUAUCCUCACUAAAUUAACCUCUGACCCUGAUUUAAAGUAUGCACUGCACUGGUGCUACUGUUUCUUGGCAGGGAAACGUUAACAGGAAGUUCAAACUAGAAGAAGUAUGUCUCAACUCACGGCCAAAGAAAACAACUGGAACGGAGGGAUCUACUGAGACAUUCUGCAUGCCCCCUGGAGGUUGUGACCCUGUACCCUCCCGUCUAGGAUCUCCCCCAGUCUCCCUCCCCAGAAGAUGCUGGGCCUCCAGUGACCUCCCCCUACACCCCACAAAGUAACCAAUCAGCAGCAGAGUGACCCCUAGGAGCCCAACUAUCAGCAGCAGCAAAGGGAGACUGGGAGGGCUCUGUCCAGAGGCUGGGACUGGGAG